UACGUAGGUGGCAAGCGUUGUCCGGAAUUACUGGGCGUAAAGCGCGUGUAGGCGGCAGCGCAAGUCGGGCGUGAAAUCCCACGGCUCAACCGUGGAAGUGCACUCGAAACUGCGCAGCUAGAGUCCUGGAGAGGAAGGUGGAAUGCUUGGUGUAGAGGUGAAAUUCGUAGAUAUCAAGCGGAACACCGGUGGCGAAGGCGGCCUUCUGGACAGUGACUGACGCUGAGACGCGAAAGCGUGGGGAGCAAACAGG
This 253-nucleotide ribosomal RNA is filed under the name uncultured bacterium. RNAcentral describes it as "partial 16S ribosomal RNA". It matches the Rfam family "Bacterial small subunit ribosomal RNA", at positions 524 to 776 of the family's 1533-position model. The record is from RNAcentral.